GGUCCCGGUAGCCCCCACCCCUAGGGGGCUCCGAUUGGCUGAAGGGGGGCGUCAUGAGGAGGGCAUUUAAAACACUAAUUCCCAGUUAAAUGCCUGCGCUUUAGAGUCAACUGAGACUUGAAUUAUGUUACAAUGCAGGAUAUAAAGAUAGACAAGCAAUAUGGUCCAUGUUUAGAAGCAAAAUGUAGACUGCUGGGGAUUAGUUUUUUAUUUUGAAAGGUACUGCAAAUCAACCAUCAUUUCCAGGAAUAUUAUUCUAAAGUGAUACCAUUCCUGGUAACUAGCUUAAUAUAUGCAUUGAUUUUCCAGAUGUCAACCCAUCUACAUCUAAAUUUCAAUCUGAACCAUAAUUACAGCUUUGUGAUUUAAACUUGAAUCUGAAGUCUUGUGAGUUCAAGCAAUCAUUCCACAUGUUUCGCCCAUUAAAUGUCAAGGUGAGGUUUAAGAGAAAUUAUAAAAAAUUUCAGAAUUGGUUUUACUCUACUCUUAUGCCAAUCGUGGGUCAAUUUUAGUCCCUGAAUCAUCACCAGCUGCCCACUACCCAACAGAUUUGGAAAUCAAAUGUGUGAGAAUUACACAAGAAUUAAAAUCUCAGCACUUGUCCCAAAAAAAGAUAGAAAAUCAUCACGUAGCUGGUUCGAAAAGUAAACCUGUCAAUACAUUUUACAGAAGUCCUUCAAGUAGUUUUUUAAAAGGGUACUUCAGAAAGUUCUUGGCCUCACCUAGAAACAAGGUUUGCAACUGCAUAACUGUAAAUUAUUAAGCUUUAUGUCAUAUAUAGCAGCACUUGUCCCCCCCAAAAGAAAGAAAAUCAUCAAUUAGGUGGUCAGAAAAGUAACAUUUAACAUUUUUUUCCCCUAUGAAUUCAACUAAUAUUUUAUGAAGAUACUUCAAAAAAGUUCUCGCCUCACCCAGAAAGAAGGUUUGUAACUCCCAUUUUAGAGCAUAACUGUAUACUAGAAAGCCUGAUAUCACUGUCUGCAAAAAAAUCUAAUGUUUGAUGUUAUUUCUUUGAAGGUAACGCCUUUCGAAAAUCAUGAGACUGAAACCAGCUGACGUCUAUGGUUUACACUAUGUACUGGACAGACACGCUGCAGUGAAUGGCCUCCACUUGAUCGAUUUUGGAUGUCUUGACUGUGGAUCAUCUCUUCUUCUUCUGCUUAAGCUCAGCCAACCCACUUCUUUAGCAAGCCUCACCCUAACUGAUCGAGGCAGAUGACCCCCUCCUUGAGCCUGGUUCUGCUGGAGGUUUCUUCCUGUUAAAGGCCUCCGUUGACUCGUCCCGCCUGCCGUCUCUGGAGCUGAAGCUGGAUUGGAACAGACCAAAGUACAGUCCAAUCACGAUGCCAGCUGCCUCUCAAAAGGCUCCUUCAUCUGGCAGGUGGCGCCACUUCUUCUGAGGGGAAGCUGAGCUGGCCCGGCAGAACUUUGGAGAUGUGUUCCAGUGGUUGGUGGAUGUGUGGGGAGAUAGAGAGGGACCUUUGAAUUGUUCAGAAAGGAAAACAGGGAACCCAUUGGUAGUUUUAGUUUAGGGUGCUACUGCGGUGUGUUUUUGGGCUUGAAGAGGUGAACAGGAAGAGUUUUUUUUCUGUAUUGAUUAUCUUUUACUUUGUUGCUGGUUGGAAUGCCCAUCAAUGUCAACAUGAAGUUCACUUUUAGUUCUGUUUAUUUAUUUUUAUUUUACUAACACUCAUUUGUUUUUAACCCCCUCACAUGUUGUGUUGUAAACUUACUCUUUCAAAUAAAUUCUCGUCUAACCCUCUGGAAACCAG
Molecule: long non-coding RNA, 1772 nt
Organism: Amphiprion ocellaris (clown anemonefish)
Lineage: Eukaryota; Metazoa; Chordata; Actinopteri; Pomacentridae
Exons: 3
Source: RefSeq, a predicted model, not a curated record